CGAAGGGUGCAAGCGUUACUCGGAAUUACUGGGCGUAAAGCGUGCGUAGGUGGUUCGUUAAGUCUGCCGUGAAAGCCCCGGGCUCAACCUGGGAAUGGCGGUGGAUACUGGCGGACUAGAGUGCGGUAGAGGGUGGUGGAAUUCCCGGUGUAGCAGUGAAAUGCGUAGAGAUCGGGAGGAACAUCUGUGGCGAAGGCGGCCACCUGGACCAGCACUGACACUGAGGCACGAAAGCGUGGGGAGCAAACAGGAUUAGAUACCCUGGUAGUCCACGCCCUAAAACGAUGCGAACUGGACGUUGGGAGCAACUAGGCUCUCAGUGUCGAAGCUAACGCGUUAAGUUCGCCGCCUGGGGAGUACGGUCGCAAGACUG
RNAcentral lists this ribosomal RNA (373 nucleotides) under uncultured organism. Its description in RNAcentral is "bacterial SSU rRNA". It matches the Rfam family "Bacterial small subunit ribosomal RNA", at positions 526 to 896 of the family's 1533-position model. The record is from RNAcentral.